AGGACGAACGCUGGCGGCGCGCUUAACACAUGCAAGUCGAGCGAGAAAGGGGAGCAAUCCCUGAGUAAAGCGGCGUACGGGUGAGUAACACGUGGAUCAUCUACCUUGGAGUGGGGAAUAACCCUGGGAAACUAGGGCUAAUACCGCAUAAGCCUGAGAAGGGAAAGCAAGCAAUUGCGCUCAGAGAGGAGUCCGCGGCCGAUUAGCUAGUUGGUGAGGUAAAGGCUCACCAAGGCGACGAUCGGUA
Molecule: ribosomal RNA, 247 nt
Filed under: uncultured bacterium
Lineage: Bacteria
Description: partial small subunit ribosomal RNA
Rfam family: Bacterial small subunit ribosomal RNA
Source: RNAcentral